This is a long non-coding RNA of Lutra lutra (Eurasian river otter), 680 nucleotides long. RefSeq lists it as uncharacterized. The transcript is spliced from 5 exons. The record is from RefSeq and is a predicted model, not a curated record. Lineage: Eukaryota; Metazoa; Chordata; Mammalia; Carnivora; Mustelidae.
CUGAAGUCAAGAUGUCAGGAGAGCUGGCCCUUUCUGGAGGCUUGUCUUUCUACUGACCUCAUCAGGCCACCACUCAGGAAGCAAAGUUCAAUCCAUGCUUUCAAAAUGACCCAGAGAUAAGGGACCUGAGGCUUAGAGAGGGGAGUUAACUGGACCAAUGUCACACAGCAAGUCAAGGACCCGUUCCCAGAAGGGAAAUUACUGAGUAAAAGCAAACAAGCAUUUUUCAAGCUAUGGUUUCCGAAGCUGCUUUCUGAACACAGCACGUCACUCCCGCAGUGUCUCCGUCAACCUGGCCACCUUGGGCUCUGAGAAUGUUCUCCCACUGAGUAACCAUUCUUUGAUUUCUCAUAAAGGUCUAUGAAGAGGAAGGGGCCUGGGCUGGAGGGCUGCCUGAAGGAGGAGGCAAGGUCUGUUCAGGCUCUGGCAGGUACAGCGUCUCCAGCUUCAGAGCCCGUCUCUGGAAGAUGAGGGCGCUGGACUUUCCAGAGCCCCUUCAAUCACAAUGUACUCUGGCUCCAAAGGGAUCUCCCCACUUGCUGGAGAAAACCUUCUCACCAGCCGCUGGGAGAUUUGCUCUGAGACAGCACCACCUGCUGACCCUUCUGGGUAUGACACCCACCCCUUCUUGGGCGACCCUGGAAUCCUAGAAUUCUGUCUUUAUACUAAAAUGGACAUGU